RNAcentral lists this ribosomal RNA (501 nucleotides) under uncultured bacterium. Its description in RNAcentral is "partial 16S ribosomal RNA". It matches the Rfam family "Bacterial small subunit ribosomal RNA", at positions 30 to 523 of the family's 1533-position model. The record is from RNAcentral.
AUUGAACGCUGGCGGCAGGCUUAACACAUGCAAGUCGAGCGGAGAUGAGGUGCUUGCACCUUAUCUUAGCGGCGGACGGGUGAGUAAUGCUUAGGAAUCUGCCUAUUAGUGGGGGACAACAUUCCGAAAGGAAUGCUAAUACCGCAUACGUCCUACGGGAGAAAGCAGGGGAUCUUCGGACCUUGCGCUAAUAGAUGAGCCUAAGUCGGAUUAGCUAGUUGGUGGGGUAAAGGCCUACCAAGGCGACGAUCUGUAGCGGGUCUGAGAGGAUGAGCCGCCACACUGGGACUGAGACACGGCCCAGAAUCCUACGGGAGGCAGCAGUGGGGAAUAUUGGACAAUGGGGGGAACCCUGAUCCAGCCAUGCCGCGUGUGUGAAGAAGGCCUUAUGGUUGUAAAGCACUUUAAGCGAGGAGGAGGCUACUGAGACUAAUACUCUUGGAUAGUGGACGUUACCCGCAGAAUAAGCACCGGCUAACUCUGUGCCAGCCGCCGCAGUAA